This 72-nucleotide transfer RNA is filed under the name Fasciola hepatica (liver fluke). It matches the Rfam family "tRNA". From Rfam's summary of the family: Transfer RNA (tRNA) molecules are approximately 80 nucleotides in length. Their secondary structure includes four short double-helical elements and three loops (D, anti-codon, and T loops). Lineage: Eukaryota; Metazoa; Platyhelminthes; Trematoda; Plagiorchiida; Fasciolidae. The record is from Rfam by way of RNAcentral.
GGCCCCGUGGUGUAGCGGUUAUCACUCUGGACUCUGAAUCCAGUGACCCUUGUUCAAGCCUCGGUGGGGCCU